GCAUCUUGGCAAAUGCUGCAUUUCGGUGUAGAGGAAAGUCCAUGCUCGCACGAUCUGUGAUGAUCGUAGUGUUUGUGUAUAGGGAAAAAAUAACCUAUAGUAGUGAAAGCUAACGGCUAUGAAAUUACCUAAGUCUUCGGAUAUGGUAAGACUAACUAUAAAAGUGCCAAAGUGACGAUUUUUUUGAGAAAUUAAAAAAGUGGAACGUGGUAAACCCCGCAAGCGAGAAACCCAAAAAUUGGUAGGGGAACUUCUGAUUGAGAAACGAAUCAAGAAGAAGAUGGUAACAUAGAUAAAUAUUUGCCCUCUAGAAAUAGAGACAGAACAUGGCUUAUAAGA
Molecule: RNase P RNA, 339 nt
Filed under: Mollicutes bacterium
Lineage: Bacteria; Bacillati; Mycoplasmatota; Mollicutes
Description: RNase P RNA component class B
Rfam family: Bacterial RNase P class B
About the family: Ribonuclease P (RNase P) is a ubiquitous endoribonuclease, found in archaea, bacteria and eukarya as well as chloroplasts and mitochondria. Its best characterised activity is the generation of mature 5'-ends of tRNAs by cleaving the 5'-leader elements of precursor-tRNAs. Cellular RNase Ps are ribonucleoproteins.
Source: RNAcentral